AAAAAAUUGUUGUGAGCCGUGAUGUUCACUUUGAAGAGGAUAAACAAUGGAACUGGAGCAACGAAGAAGGAACAGAAGAAAGUCCGUUUGAGGUUGAACUACUACCAUUGAAACAGAGUGAAACUAGGGUAGUGGAUAUUCAAGAAGUAAGUGAUAAUGAAGGUGAAGAGAAUGUAGAUGAAGAAGAUGAUAAUGAAGAAGAGGAGCCGCAGCCAGAGUUGAGGCGAUCAAACCGAGUGAGCACGAAACCCUCUUACCUUGAUGACUAUGUCCUUCUCGCUGACAUUGAGUGUGAAAGGCUUCUGAUGGUGAUAAAUAACGAGCCCUAUGAUUACAAUGAGGCUAGAGAACACAAAGUCUGGGUGAACGCCUGCAAGGAGGAGAUAAACUCAAUCGAAAAGAACAACACUUGGAUUCUCGUUGACCUACCAAAAGGUUUCAAAACUAUUGGGUUAAAAUGGGUGUUUAAAAUAAAAAGAAACGCAGACGGAAGCAUCAGCAAAUUCAAGGCACGAUUAGUGGCAAAAGGAUAUGUUCAAAGGCAUGGUGUUGACUAUGAUGAAGUCUUUGCACCAGUAGCUCGUAUUGAGACAAUCAGAAUGAUCAUAGCUCUUGCGGCUUCAAAGGAAUGGGAGAUACAUCAUCUGGACGUUAAGACAGCGUUCUUACACGGAGAGCUGAAAGAAGAAGUCUAUGUUACUCAGCCGGAAGGAUUUGAGAUCAGAGGAAAGGAAGGAAAAGUUUAUAAACUGCACAAAGCUCUCUACGGUUUGAAACAGGCCCCUAGAGCAUGGAACAUAAAACUCAACGGGAUCUUGAAGAAACUAGGUUUCGUGCGUUGCUCAAAAGAGCCCUCGCUCUAUAGGAAAGAAGAAAAGAAAGGCUUGCUUGUUGUCUGUGUGUAUGUCGACGAUCUUCUUGUCACAGGUUCAUCUUUGGGUUCGAUUAUCAAGUUUAAACAAGAGAUGGCUCGAACGUUUGAGAUGAGUGACCUUGGUAGAUUGACUUAUUACUUAGGCAUUGAGGUACGACAAACCAAUGAAGGAAUUACAUUGUCACAAGAACGAUAUGCUCAGAAGAUUCUUGAGCAAACCGGAAUGAAUGAUUGCAAUCUUAUACACAUACCAAUGGACGUGAAUACAAAGCUGUCAAAAUCGCCUCAAGAACAGAGUAUCAACGAAAGAGAAUACAGAAAGAGUAUUGGCUGUCUCCGUUAUCUUCUGCACACACGACCCGAUCUCUCUUACAGCGUUGGUGUGCUUAGUAGGUACAUGCAAGAACCGAAACAAUCUCACGGUGCAGCUCUAAAGCAAGUGUUGAGAUACUUGCGCGGAACGACUUCUCUUGGUUUAAGGUUCUCGCAAGCAACAGAACAAGAAGAACUAAUAGGGUUUAGCGAUAGUUCGCACAACGUAGAUGAGGAUGAUGGCAGAGCUACAACUGGACAUGUUUUCUAUCUCGGAACCAGUCCUAUAACCUGGUGUUCUCAGAAACAAGAAAUUGUAGCCUUGUCAUCUUGUGAAGCAGAGUUUAUGGCUGCUACGGAAGCUGCGAAACAGGCAAUAUGGCUCCAAGAACUUAUGAGUGAAGUCGUGGGGCAUGAAAGCAAGAAGGUGACAAUAAAAGUCGAUAACAAAUCCGCAAUCUCGCUCACCAAGAAUCCUGUAUUCCAUGGUAGAAGUAAACACAUUCAUAGAAGGUAUCAUUUCAUACGAGAGUGCGUCGAGAAUGAACCAAUUGAAGUGGAGCAUGUUCCGGGAAGUAUGCAAAGAGCCGACAUUCUAACAAAGUCCCUAAGCCGAGUUCGUUUUAAAGAGAUGAGGAGUCUUAUUGGAAUGCAAGUAGUGUGUGAGGAUGAAGUCAAGCUUAAGGGGGAGAAUGUUGGUUUAAGCUUGAAAGAUAGCUUAAAACACAAGCUAUCCUAAAUUGAAGUGUUAUGAUUAUCCAUAAGAGAAUAGGAAAUAUUGAAAGUGUGAUUACUAAUAGGAUUAGGAUUAUCUAGUCUUAUAUAUUGAAGUGUAAGGUGUUGAAUCAACUUACGGAUUGUGUGAGUGAUUGAGCUUUAGUUUUGAGUUAUUUUCUAAAGCAAUACGAAAGUGUUUGAAGUGAUUUCGAUCUUUGAUUUCUAUAUUUAAAUCUUGCACCACUGGUAAUGCUCAAACCUCAAAAGAAAGGGACGUAGGAGGUUCUAUUAUCACGGAUUAAGAACAACAAUAUAGAAGAAAAAAACUUUUCAUUCUGGUCGAUUCAAAACACAUGAAUCUAGCGACUUCUUAUUUAUUACACUCUGGAAAACAUAACAAUGAGUCAUUUUUUUUGCUUAAAAACAUAACACUGAGUUUGAAUAUAAAAAAAAAACAUAACAGUGAGUCAAACCCAAUUUUACUCGUUUUAGGGGUCCAAUUCAAAUCCAGAUAUCAGAUGUGCAGUCUCCGCCGGGAUAUCUCAUCUCGUGGGCAAGCGCAGGACCAUCAGGUUCUUCACCAAAGUCCACAAAGAAAUCAGGGUUUAUUGAGAGACCACCUUUCUCUGUAUCAACAUCAAUCUGAAUUAUGUGUGAUCCUUUAUCCAUGAGUUCUGGGUAAAACUGACGGUCCCACGCGCUGAACAGUGAGUUUGUUGCAUACAAUCGUUUACCAUCAAGGCUCAGCUGGAUCAUCUGAGGUCCUGCUCGUAGAGAUUUCCCCUACAAAUACCCGAGAUAUUAAAGAAAAAUGUGCUCCCAAAUGAAUGUUUAUUUUUGUAAGUAAAACAAACCUUGAUCUGAGGAACAUCAAACUGGUAAGUGGUACCAUCUUCUCUAACCGCCUUUACAGGGCUGCCUUUUUGUAGUAAUCCGCCCACCCAAAUUUGACCAGUUAAGACAGGGUUUUUAGGGUCUUCAAUGUUGUACUGACGAAUGUCUCCAUGAAGCCAGUUCACAAAGUAGAAAAACCUAUCAUCGAGGGAGAUCAAGAAGUCGGUGAUAAGCCCCGGCAUUUCUGGAAGAAUCCAGUUCUCUACUUUCAGUGGUUCAACUGAUAUAACCACCUACCAAAAAAUAUUAGUGGCAAAAGGAUAUGUUCAAAGGCAUGGUGUUGACUAUGAUGAAGUCUUUGCACCAGUAGCUCGUAUUGAGACAAUCAGAAUGAUCAUAGCUCUUGCGGCUUCAAAGGAAUGGGAGAUACAUCAUCUGGACGUUAAGACAGCGUUCUUACACGGAGAGCUGAAAGAAGAAGUCUAUGUUACUCAGCCGGAAGGAUUUGAGAUCAGAGGAAAGGAAGGAAAAGUUUAUAAACUGCACAAAGCUCUCUACGGUUUGAAACAGGCCCCUAGAGCAUGGAACAUAAAACUCAACGGGAUCUUGAAGAAACUAGGUUUCGUGCGUUGCUCAAAAGAGCCCUCGCUCUAUAGGAAAGAAGAAAAGAAAGGCUUGCUUGUUGUCUGUGUGUAUGUCGACGAUCUUCUUGUCACAGGUUCAUCUUUGGGUUCGAUUAUCAAGUUUAAACAAGAGAUGGCUCGAACGUUUGAGAUGAGUGACCUUGGUAGAUUGACUUAUUACUUAGGCAUUGAGGUACGACAAACCAAUGAAGGAAUUACAUUGUCACAAGAACGAUAUGCUCAGAAGAUUCUUGAGCAAACCGGAAUGAAUGAUUGCAAUCUUAUACACAUACCAAUGGACGUGAAUACAAAGCUGUCAAAAUCGCCUCAAGAACAGAGUAUCAACGAAAGAGAAUACAGAAAGAGUAUUGGCUGUCUCCGUUAUCUUCUGCACACACGACCCGAUCUCUCUUACAGCGUUGGUGUGCUUAGUAGGUACAUGCAAGAACCGAAACAAUCUCACGGUGCAGCUCUAAAGCAAGUGUUGAGAUACUUGCGCGGAACGACUUCUCUUGGUUUAAGGUUCUCGCAAGCAACAGAACAAGAAGAACUAAUAGGGUUUAGCGAUAGUUCGCACAACGUAGAUGAGGAUGAUGGCAGAGCUACAACUGGACAUGUUUUCUAUCUCGGAACCAGUCCUAUAACCUGGUGUUCUCAGAAACAAGAAAUUGUAGCCUUGUCAUCUUGUGAAGCAGAGUUUAUGGCUGCUACGGAAGCUGCGAAACAGGCAAUAUGGCUCCAAGAACUUAUGAGUGAAGUCGUGGGGCAUGAAAGCAAGAAGGUGACAAUAAAAGUCGAUAACAAAUCCGCAAUCUCGCUCACCAAGAAUCCUGUAUUCCAUGGUAGAAGUAAACACAUUCAUAGAAGGUAUCAUUUCAUACGAGAGUGCGUCGAGAAUGAACCAAUUGAAGUGGAGCAUGUUCCGGGAAGUAUGCAAAGAGCCGACAUUCUAACAAAGUCCCUAAGCCGAGUUCGUUUUAAAGAGAUGAGGAGUCUUAUUGGAAUGCAAGUAGUGUGUGAGGAUGAAGUCAAGCUUAAGGGGGAGAAUGUUGGUUUAAGCUUGAAAGAUAGCUUAAAACACAAGCUAUCCUAAAUUGAAGUGUUAUGAUUAUCCAUAAGAGAAUAGGAAAUAUUGAAAGUGUGAUUACUAAUAGGAUUAGGAUUAUCUAGUCUUAUAUAUUGAAGUGUAAGGUGUUGAAUCAACUUACGGAUUGUGUGAGUGAUUGAGCUUUAGUUUUGAGUUAUUUUCUAAAGCAAUACGAAAGUGUUUGAAGUGAUUUCGAUCUUUGAUUUCUAUAUUUAAAUCUUGCACCACUGGUAAUGCUCAAACCUCAAAAGAAAGGGACGUAGGAGGUUCUAUUAUCACGGAUUAAGAACAACAAUAUAGAAGAAAAAAACUUUUCAUUCUGGUCGAUUCAAAACACAUGAAUCUAGCGACUUCUUAUUUAUUACACUCUGGAAAACAUAACAAUGAGUCAUUUUUUUUGCUUAAAAACAUAACACUGAGUUUGAAUAUAAAAAAAAAACAUAACAGUGAGUCAAACCCAAUUUUACUCGUUUUAGGGGUCCAAUUCAAAUCCAGAUAUCAGAUGUGCAGUCUCCGCCGGGAUAUCUCAUCUCGUGGGCAAGCGCAGGACCAUCAGGUUCUUCACCAAAGUCCACAAAGAAAUCAGGGUUUAUUGAGAGACCACCUUUCUCUGUAUCAACAUCAAUCUGAAUUAUGUGUGAUCCUUUAUCCAUGAGUUCUGGGUAAAACUGACGGUCCCACGCGCUGAACAGUGAGUUUGUUGCAUACAAUCGUUUACCAUCAAGGCUCAGCUGGAUCAUCUGAGGUCCUGCUCGUAGAGAUUUCCCCUACAAAUACCCGAGAUAUUAAAGAAAAAUGUGCUCCCAAAUGAAUGUUUAUUUUUGUAAGUAAAACAAACCUUGAUCUGAGGAACAUCAAACUGGUAAGUGGUACCAUCUUCUCUAACCGCCUUU
RNAcentral lists this long non-coding RNA (5340 nucleotides) under Brassica napus (rape). RNAcentral's name for it is "long non-coding RNA (BNAP_LNC006810)". Lineage: Eukaryota; Viridiplantae; Streptophyta; Magnoliopsida; Brassicales; Brassicaceae. The record is from RNAcentral.